GCCGGGAUGGCGGAAUCGGCAGACGCAGAGGACUUAAAAUCCUCCAAAGGGCGACCUUUGUGCGGGUUCAAGUCCCGCUCCCGGCACCA
This 89-nucleotide transfer RNA is filed under the name Bacillota bacterium. RNAcentral's name for it is "tRNA-Leu". It matches the Rfam family "tRNA". Rfam says of the family: Transfer RNA (tRNA) molecules are approximately 80 nucleotides in length. Their secondary structure includes four short double-helical elements and three loops (D, anti-codon, and T loops). The record is from RNAcentral. Lineage: Bacteria; Bacillati; Bacillota.